This 460-nucleotide ribosomal RNA is filed under the name uncultured bacterium. Its description in RNAcentral is "partial 16S ribosomal RNA". It matches the Rfam family "Bacterial small subunit ribosomal RNA", at positions 338 to 795 of the family's 1533-position model. The record is from RNAcentral.
CCUACGGGAGGCAGCAGUGAGGAAUAUUGGUCAAUGGACGAGAGUCUGAACCAGCCAAGUAGCGUGAAGGAUGACUGCCCUAUGGGUUGUAAACUUCUUUUAUAUGGGAAUAAAAUGUUCCACGUGUGGGAUUUUGUAUGUACCAUAUGAAUAAGGAUCGGCUAACUCCGUGCCAGCAGCCGCGGUAAUACGGAGGAUCCGAUAGUUAUCCGGAUUUAUUGGGUUUAAAGGGAGCGUAGGUGGAUUGUUAAGUCAGUUGUGAAAGUUUGCGGCUCAACCGUAAAAUUGCAGUUGAAACUGGCAGUCUUGAGUACAGUAGAGGUGGGCGGAAUUCGUGGUGUAGCGGUGAAAUGCUUAGAUAUCACGAAGAACUCCAAUUGCGAAGGCAGUUCACUGGACUGCAACUGACACUGAGGCUCGAAAGUGUGGGUAUCAAACAGGAUUAGAUACCCUGGUAGUC